GUUGGCGAAGAUUUUUGGCCGUCAAAUUCGCAUUGGACACAGAAGAACUCAAAAUAUAUAUAUAAAUAUUCAAAUUUUUCUAUCAAAAUGCAACCAUGGCCUUAGUAUUAUAAAAGGACUGGCGAUAUGUGCAAGAAUUUCUGAGGUAAACGUUAUUUUUUAACCUGUUUUCGAUGAUUAAAGUUGGUCAUGCCGUGGCAACGUGAUGACUCAAGUCCGAGUCUGUUUACAAUUUUCAAACUAAAAAAUCUGGAAUUCCCACGGUUCGAUUUUUCGACAAAUGUCUAAACUAAAAAUCUGCUGGAGGGAUCCCCGGGAUCCCCCGGCAGUUUUCGAGAUAUUUGGCAUUGAAGUGACCAUACUCAAUUCAACCUUUGCCAAAAUGGCGUCUAAUAUCUGGGGAAGAUAUUGCGCCACCAAAGCUUGGUUUUCACAAUGAAUUUUGAAAGUCCCCCAAUAUUAGGAUCACUUUUCUUUACAGUAAGUGUUAAAUUACUUUUGAAGGACUAUUUAGAAGACUUAGGAGUUAUUUGCCUGUUUUACAGAUUUUAUAUCUGUGCUGGUAUUACUAGCCUGCAUGCCCAUCUCCUUGACAAGUGAAAUUGUCUGGUGGUAGAGACGAUUUUAAAAGAACAGCACAUUAUAAAGUGAUCAGAUUUUCUCUCAGUGAAAAAUUCUAUGUUCCUUUUUAAUUACAGCAGUUCAGAUGUCGAUAUAGAAUUGAAAAAGGGCUUAUUCCUGAACAUCCUGCAAGGGCAGGGCCAACUGACAAUGUUGAAGAAUGAAGACAUUUUAGCAUGGAUUACUAGUAUAGAUUAUAGUAUCUCUUGUCCUUUAUGAUGUCUUCCUGAAAGUUGUUGGUGAAUACAAAUUGAGCUGUGAUCCCUCAACGUGUCCAACAACAUGCUCCACCAAAUACCUGAGCACAAUAUAGAAAGUGCACAUACAUGCAGGGAUGGAUUUACUUGGGGGGGGGGGGUUGCACCCCCUAGCCAGAGGGGUGCACGGGGGUGCUAUUUUUUAUGAUAAAGCAAAAAAGACAAAAUAAGAUACAAUAAUUUGAGUAAUAACAUGAUGAUAAGUGAACUGUGAACAACAAUUACAAUUCAAAUACAGCAGUUGAUGGGUGGGCGGCACACAUGACCGACACAAUUCGGCAGUCGGCACCAGAGCACCCCCCCACCAGAUCAUGCUGGAUCCAUCCCUGCAUACAUGUACUGUAUCAUAUUUAAUUAAUGCUUGAGUAUAUUUGUUCAAAUUUAUUGAUAUUAAUAAAUAAUUAAAUUAUGUUUGUUAUAGUAGUGUACAUUUUGCACCAGCCACUCUUGAAAUUAGACGUCAGCCACUUUUUAACUAGAUGGCCAUGGAUGACCUAAGAAAUUGUUUUCUUUAUUAAACAGCAACUUGCAAGAGAACCAUUUAAGUUCACUAAGAACCAUUUAAGUUCAACUCAGCCCGAUUUUCACAGAACCAACUUUAAAAUGAACUGCAGUCGAACUUUACAACAUACAUUCCAAACUUACAAACAAACAUUGGUGGUCAGAUUUCAAAGACAAAUUGAAAUUGACAGCAAGAUGUAAUUUUAUUGUUGGGGAUGGGUUGGUGCUUUAGGGUUUAGGCUCAAUUCUUGCAGAAGGGUUACAUAAAGUCAGCAAUUUCAAAAUUAAUUACAUGGCUUGACAAAAUAAAUUCUAUUCAGUCACGAAAUAGGUAGAUGCAUUUAUUGAUAGCACAUGUUUUUUUAAGUUUAGAUAUAGGUAAUGAGAACCAUAUUGGUGUCCUAGUAAUAAAUUUAUGCCACAAUAAAAAAGCAAUAUUGCUAUUUUGAGGGACUUGCACAUGACAGAUAUUGUUUUGUUAUAGAUACACACCUACUUAUAUUAAAUGAUUUUUGUUUGGCAAUAAAGUGAAAGGUAAAAAUGCUGGAAAAAUCUAAAAAGUUAGCCAAUUUAAAUGACAUUUCUAUAACUUGCUAAACCUAGUCAGUUACUAUUAUUUCACAAACAUCUGUCGACAUACACUCAUGCCCCUCCU
This 2034-nucleotide long non-coding RNA is filed under the name Paramuricea clavata. Lineage: Eukaryota; Metazoa; Cnidaria; Anthozoa; Malacalcyonacea; Plexauridae. The record is from RNAcentral.